RNAcentral lists this ribosomal RNA (1381 nucleotides) under Mammaliicoccus lentus. RNAcentral describes it as "bacterial SSU rRNA". It matches the Rfam family "Bacterial small subunit ribosomal RNA", at positions 74 to 1438 of the family's 1533-position model. The record is from RNAcentral. Lineage: Bacteria; Bacillati; Bacillota; Bacilli; Caryophanales; Staphylococcaceae.
AGAAGCUUGCUUCUCUGAUGUUAGCGGCGGACGGGUGAGUAACACGUGGGUAACCUACCUAUAAGACUGGGAUAACUCCGGGAAACCGGGGCUAAUACCGGAUAAUAUUUUGAACCGCAUGGUUCAAUAGUGAAAGACGGUUUCGGCUGUCACUUAUAGAUGGACCCGCGCCGUAUUAGCUAGUUGGUAAGGUAACGGCUUACCAAGGCGACGAUACGUAGCCGACCUGAGAGGGUGAUCGGCCACACUGGAACUGAGACACGGUCCAGACUCCUACGGGAGGCAGCAGUAGGGAAUCUUCCGCAAUGGGCGAAAGCCUGACGGAGCAACGCCGCGUGAGUGAUGAAGGUCUUCGGAUCGUAAAACUCUGUUGUUAGGGAAGAACAAAUUUGUUAGUAACUGAACAAGUCUUGACGGUACCUAACCAGAAAGCCACGGCUAACUACGUGCCAGCAGCCGCGGUAAUACGUAGGUGGCAAGCGUUAUCCGGAAUUAUUGGGCGUAAAGCGCGCGUAGGCGGUUUCUUAAGUCUGAUGUGAAAGCCCACGGCUCAACCGUGGAGGGUCAUUGGAAACUGGGAAACUUGAGUGCAGAAGAGGAGAGUGGAAUUCCAUGUGUAGCGGUGAAAUGCGCAGAGAUAUGGAGGAACACCAGUGGCGAAGGCGGCUCUCUGGUCUGUAACUGACGCUGAUGUGCGAAAGCGUGGGGAUCAAACAGGAUUAGAUACCCUGGUAGUCCACGCCGUAAACGAUGAGUGCUAAGUGUUAGGGGGUUUCCGCCCCUUAGUGCUGCAGCUAACGCAUUAAGCACUCCGCCUGGGGAGUACGACCGCAAGGUUGAAACUCAAAGGAAUUGACGGGGACCCGCACAAGCGGUGGAGCAUGUGGUUUAAUUCGAAGCAACGCGAAGAACCUUACCAAAUCUUGACAUCCUUUGACCGCUCUAGAGAUAGAGUCUUCCCCUUCGGGGGACAAAGUGACAGGUGGUGCAUGGUUGUCGUCAGCUCGUGUCGUGAGAUGUUGGGUUAAGUCCCGCAACGAGCGCAACCCUUAAGCUUAGUUGCCAUCAUUAAGUUGGGCACUCUAGGUUGACUGCCGGUGACAAACCGGAGGAAGGUGGGGAUGACGUCAAAUCAUCAUGCCCCUUAUGAUUUGGGCUACACACGUGCUACAAUGGAUAAUACAAAGGGCAGCGAAUCCGCGAGGCCAAGCAAAUCCCAUAAAAUUAUUCUCAGUUCGGAUUGUAGUCUGCAACUCGACUACAUGAAGCUGGAAUCGCUAGUAAUCGUAGAUCAGCAUGCUACGGUGAAUACGUUCCCGGGUCUUGUACACACCGCCCGUCACACCACGAGAGUUUGUAACACCCGAAGCCGGUGGAGUAA